AUUGAACGCUGGCGGCAGGCUUAACACAUGCAAGUCGAGCGGGGGAAGGUAGCUUGCUACCGGACCUAGCGGCGGACGGGUGAGUAAUGCUUAGGAAUCUGCCUAUUAGUGGGGGACAACAUCUCGAAAGGGAUGCUAAUACCGCAUACGUCCUACGGGAGAAAGCAGGGGAUCUUCGGACCUUGCGCUAAUAGAUGAGCCUAAGUCGGAUUAGCUAGUUGGUGGGGUAAAGGACUACCAAGGCGACGAUCUGUAGCGGGUCUGAGAGGAUGAGCCGCCACACGGGGACUGAGACACGGCCAAGACUCCUACGGGAGGCAGCUGUGGGGAAUAUUGGACAAUGGGGGGAACCCUGAUCCAGCCAUGCCGCGUGUUUGAAGAAGGCCUUAUGGUUGUAAAGCACUUUAAGCGAGGAGGAGGCUACUUUAGUUAAUACCUAGAGAUAGUGGACGUUACUCGCAGUAUAAGCACCGGCUAACUCUGUGCCAGCCGCCGCCAUAA
This 501-nucleotide ribosomal RNA is filed under the name uncultured bacterium. RNAcentral describes it as "partial 16S ribosomal RNA". It matches the Rfam family "Bacterial small subunit ribosomal RNA", at positions 30 to 523 of the family's 1533-position model. The record is from RNAcentral.